GAGAGAGUGUAAUAUGGCGAAGACC
RNAcentral lists this non-coding RNA (25 nucleotides) under Cricetulus griseus (Chinese hamster). Lineage: Eukaryota; Metazoa; Chordata; Mammalia; Rodentia; Cricetidae. The record is from RNAcentral.